GUUUCCGUAGUGUAGUGGGCAUCACGUUUGCCUCACACGCAAAAGGUCCCCAGUUCGAAACUGGGCGGAAACA
This 73-nucleotide transfer RNA is filed under the name Danionella translucida. It matches the Rfam family "tRNA". From Rfam's summary of the family: Transfer RNA (tRNA) molecules are approximately 80 nucleotides in length. Their secondary structure includes four short double-helical elements and three loops (D, anti-codon, and T loops). The record is from Rfam by way of RNAcentral. RNAcentral also lists the same sequence under 1 other name. Lineage: Eukaryota; Metazoa; Chordata; Actinopteri; Cypriniformes; Danionidae.